RNAcentral lists this unclassified non-coding RNA (329 nucleotides) under fungal sp. RNAcentral's name for it is "partial internal transcribed spacer region". The stretch from base 1 to 46 matches the Rfam family "Eukaryotic small subunit ribosomal RNA", at positions 1786 to 1831 of the family's 1831-position model. The record is from RNAcentral. Lineage: Eukaryota; Fungi.
AAGUCGUAACAAGGUCUCCGUAGGUGAACCUGCGGAGGGAUCAUUAACACGUACGAAUAACAAAGUAGACUGGACUAAGCUAUUUAGACUUGUCUACUUUAUUAUUUAUACCAACUCGUGAACGAAACAUCAUGCCUCUUCUCCUUAGCGCUGUUACUAACCUAACAUUGCUGAGCUAUGUUUUGCUUGUAUUCUUUCUAUACAAACCAAUAUCCAAAUUGUAACUAACUAACAUAACCAUGCACAUAUGUAACAAUGUGUGCGUUUUAUGUACCAGUUAAUUUUAAACAUUUUAAGCACAACUCUUAGCAACGGAUAUCUCGGUUCUC